AGUUUGAUCCUGGCUCAGGAUGAACGCUAGCGGCAGGCCUAACACAUGCAAGUCGAACGGUAACAGGAAUUAGCUUGCUAAUUUGCUGACGAGUGGCGCACGGGUGCGUAACGCGUAUACAAUCUACCUUUUGCUGAGGGAUAGCCCAGAGAAAUUUGGAUUAAUACCUCAUAGUAUUAUUGGAUGGCAUCAUUUAAUAAUUAAAGGUUACGGCAAAAGAUGAGUAUGCGUACCAUUAGUUUGUUGGUAAGGUAACGGCUUACCAAGACUACGAUGGUUAGGGGUCCUGAGAGGGAGAUCCCCCACACUGGUACUGAGACACGGACCAGACUCCUACGGGAGGCAGCAGUGAGGAAUAUUGGACAAUGGACGAGAGUCUGAUCCAGCCAUGCCGCGUGCAGGAAGACUGCCCUAUGGGUUGUAAACUGCUUUUAUACAGGAAGAAUAAGGUCUACGUGUAGACUGAUGACGGUACUGUAAGAAUAAGGACCGGCUAACUCCGUGCCAGCAGCCGCGGUAAUACGGAGGGUCCGAGCGUUAUCCGGAAUUAUUGGGUUUAAAGGGUCCGUAGGCGGAUGAUUAAGUCAGGGGUGAAAGUUUGCAGCUCAACUGUAAAAUUGCCUUUGAUACUGGUUAUCUUGAGUUGUAUUGAAGUAGGCGGAAUAUGUAGUGUAGCGGUGAAAUGCAUAGAUAUUACAUAGAACACCAAUUGCGAAGGCAGCUUACUAAGUACUAACUGACGCUGAUGGACGAAAGCGUGGGUAGCGAACAGGAUUAGAUACCCUGGUAGUCCACGCCGUAAACGAUGGAUACUAGCUGUUCGGAACCUUGAGUUCUGAGCGGCUAAGCGAAAGUGAUAAGUUCCCCCCUGG
Molecule: ribosomal RNA, 872 nt
Filed under: uncultured bacterium
Lineage: Bacteria
Description: bacterial SSU rRNA
Rfam family: Bacterial small subunit ribosomal RNA
Source: RNAcentral